ACAAUUUCGGGUUUGAUCCUGGCCCAGAAUGAAUGCUAGCGGUAAGCUUUAUACAUGCAAGUCGAACGCACGAAUUUUCGUGAGUGGCGAACGGGUGAGUAACACGUAAGAAUCUACCUAGCAGGUUGAUUGAAAUAAUCAGAUAUCCAAAGGCCAAGGCCCUUGCUAGAUGAGCUUGCGCAAGAUUAGGUAGUUGGUGUGAUAAAAGCGCACCAAGCCAAAGAUCUUUAGCUGAUUUGAGAGAAUGAUCAGCCACAUUGGAACUGAGACACGGUCCAAACUCAAUUGAUGAGGCAGCAGUAGGGAAUCUUGGACAAUGGGCGAAAGCCUGAUCCAGCUAAAUCGCGUGAGUGAUGAAGGUCAUUUAGAUCGUAAAGCUCUUUAAUUGAAGAUAGAUUAUGUCGUACUUCAAUCAAAAAGUCUCGGCAAAUUUCGUGCCAGCAGCCGCGGUAAUACGGGAGAGACGAGUGUUAUUCGGAAUAACUGGGCGUAAAGAGUUCGUAGGCGGAACAGAGAUUUUAAAGCGCAAUCCCAAAGAAAACCUUUGGAAAUUCUUUGAAAAACUCGGUUCUUGAGUGAGAAAGAGGAAAGUGGAAUGUCCUAUGUAGAGAUAAAAUUCGUUGAGAUAGGAUGGAAGGCCAAAGGCGAAGGCAACUUUCUGGGUCUCAACUGACGCUGAGGAACGAAAGCGUGGGGAGCAACAGGGAUUAGAUACCCCUUCUAGUCCACGCCGUAAACGAUGAGUGUUCGCUUUGGGUCUAAGAAAUCGAUCCGAGGCUUAGCUAACGCGUUAAACAUUCCGCCUGGGGAGUACGGUCGCAAGGCUGAAACUCAAAGGAAUUGACGGGGGCUCGCACAAGUGGUGGAUCAUCUUGUUUAAUUCGACACUACGCGCAGAACCUUACCAACCCUUGACAUUAUUCGUUUGAUUUCCUUAAGAGGGAAAUUUAGAAGAGAAUAACAGGUGCUGCAUGGCUGUCGGCAGUUCGUGCUGUGAAGCGUCUGGUUAAGUCCUAAAACGAACGCAACCCCUAUGAGUUUUUUCAUUUGACAAACUCAAACCGCUAGUGAUAAGCUGGAGGAAGGAAGGGAUGACGUCAAGUCCUCAUGGCCCUCAUGGGUUGGGCUACAAAGGUGAUACAAUGGCAAUUACAGAAGGAUGCAAUGAUGCAAGUCGGAGCAAAUCCUUAAAAAUUGUCUUAGUCCGGAUUGGUCUCUGCAACUCGAGACCAUGAAGCUGGAAUCACAAGUAAUCGUGGAUCAGCAUGCCACGGUGAAACUGUUCUCGAGCCUUGUACACACCGCCCGUCACACCGAGGAAGUUAGAUUAAUCUGAAAAAGGAAUUCUCUCACUGACUUUUAAAGAUUUAUCUUGUACAAGAUUGUCUUAGAAAUGCUUUGUUAGGAUUGUUUUGUCGAUUCAUUAGAUAACUUUGGUGAAGUCGUAACAAGGUAGCCGUAGAGGAAUCUGCGGCUGGAUUGACUCCUUU
Molecule: ribosomal RNA, 1490 nt
Filed under: Chloropicon maureeniae
Lineage: Eukaryota; Viridiplantae; Chlorophyta; Chloropicophyceae; Chloropicales; Chloropicaceae
Description: SSU rRNA
Rfam family: Bacterial small subunit ribosomal RNA
Source: RNAcentral